This 354-nucleotide RNase P RNA is filed under the name Anaerolineaceae bacterium. RNAcentral's name for it is "RNase P RNA component class A". It matches the Rfam family "Bacterial RNase P class A". Rfam says of the family: Ribonuclease P (RNase P) is a ubiquitous endoribonuclease, found in archaea, bacteria and eukarya as well as chloroplasts and mitochondria. Lineage: Bacteria; Bacillati; Chloroflexota; Anaerolineae; Anaerolineales; Anaerolineaceae. The record is from RNAcentral.
CAGGCUGACCGGGCGGUCGCCGGUUUUCGGGCCGGAGGAAAGUCCGCACUCCACAGGGCGCGGUGCUGGCUAACUGCCAGGCGCGGUAACGCGACGGCAAGUGCAACAGAGAACGGAUUGCCCCCGUCCGGGGGUGAGGGUGAAAAGGUGGUGCAAGAGACCACCGGCGUCGGCAGUGAUGUCGGCGGCCAGGCAAACCCCACCGGGAGCAAGACCAGACAGGCGCAGAGGGGUGGCCCGCCCCGCAGGCAGCGCCGGGUAGGUCGCUUGAUCCCGCGAGGCAACUGGCGGGACAGAUAGAUGACCGUCGCCCCGCAAGGGGAACAGAAUGCGGCUUACAGGUCAGCCUGGCCU